Molecule: ribosomal RNA, 473 nt
Filed under: uncultured bacterium
Lineage: Bacteria
Description: SSU rRNA
Rfam family: Bacterial small subunit ribosomal RNA
Source: RNAcentral
AGGAUCAACGCUGGCGGCGUGCAUGAGACAUGCAAGUCGAACGGACGAUCAAAGCUUGCUUUGUUCGUUAGUGGCGGACGGCUGAGUAACGCGUGGGUGACCUGCCCCGAAGUGGGGAAUAACUGCCCGAAAGGGUGGCUAAUACCGCAUGUGGUCGUCGAAUCAGUUCGCCGACUAAAGGAGAAAUCCGCUUCCGGAGGGGCCUGCGUCCGAUUAGCUAGUUGGUGAGGUAACGGCCCACCAAGGCGACGAUCGGUAGCUGGUCUGAGAGGAUGAUCAGCCAGACUGGGACUGAGAACGGCCCAGACUCCUACGGGAGGCAGCAGUCGGGAAUUUUGCCCAAUGGACGAAAGUCUGAGGCAGCAACUCCGCGUGAGGGAUGAAGGCCUUCGGGUCGUAAACCUCUUUUCUCAGGGAAGAUACAAGACGGUACCUGAGGAAUAAGCCACGGCUAACUACGUGCCAGCAGCCGC